This 465-nucleotide ribosomal RNA is filed under the name Triticum aestivum (bread wheat). RNAcentral describes it as "partial small subunit ribosomal RNA". Lineage: Eukaryota; Viridiplantae; Streptophyta; Magnoliopsida; Poales; Poaceae. The record is from RNAcentral.
AUGAGACUCUUGCUUCCCUUUGAAAGAGGCAGACCCCUACUUCAAUUGUCAUCUGACGCCUCUACCCCAGCUGUGGACUCAGACCUCUCACAACCAAAAAAAAGAAAAUCAAAAUCAAACGAAUCCGAAUAUAACCAAUCUAUCGCCUUUGAUGACUCGUUGACAGCCUCCUCAACCCAAGCUUCCAUCUCCUGCUCCAGACAUCGGCGCUUGCCCGCGCCAGUCCAUGAAAGGUGGAUGAAGGUGAGUUUGACUACGAACUCGAGGAUGCUGGGAACGAUCUCUUUUCGGGGAAUCACUCCCGUCGAGAGGCCCUCUUCCUCCCUUUUUCUGAAUCUGGUAGAGAGGCAAAAGAGAAGUCCAGAGAGACCUCGAAUCUUUCAGGGAAAGGAGGGAGAUCGAAUGCGAGAUGGAGUCCCUGCCGAAUGGAAUGGACAUCCUUGGGGACAGCUGUGUAAGACUUAA